GCGGAGGUAGCUCAGUCGGUAGAGCCCCGGAUUGUGGCUCCGGUGGUCGCGGGUUCGAACCCCGUCCUUCGCC
RNAcentral lists this transfer RNA (73 nucleotides) under Magnetofaba australis IT-1. It matches the Rfam family "tRNA". From Rfam's summary of the family: Transfer RNA (tRNA) molecules are approximately 80 nucleotides in length. Lineage: Bacteria; Pseudomonadati; Pseudomonadota; Magnetococcia; Magnetococcales; Magnetococcaceae. The record is from Rfam by way of RNAcentral.